Molecule: ribosomal RNA, 106 nt
Filed under: Paenibacillus polymyxa
Lineage: Bacteria; Bacillati; Bacillota; Bacilli; Caryophanales; Paenibacillaceae
Also listed under: 2 other names
Source: RNAcentral
UGGCGGAGGGGUUCCACACGUACCCAUCCCGAACACGACCGUUAAGCCCUCUAGCGCCGAUGGUACUUGGACCGCAGGGUCCUGGGAGAGUAGGACGCCGCCAAGC